This 438-nucleotide ribosomal RNA is filed under the name uncultured bacterium. RNAcentral's name for it is "partial 16S ribosomal RNA". It matches the Rfam family "Bacterial small subunit ribosomal RNA", at positions 339 to 795 of the family's 1533-position model. The record is from RNAcentral.
CUACGGGCCGCUGCAGUGGGGAAUCUUGGACAAUGGGCGCAAGCCUGAUCCAGCCAUGCCGCGUGAGUGAAGAAGGCCUUAGGGUCGUAAAGCUCUUUCGCCAGAGAUGAUAAUGACAGUAUCUGGUAAAGAAACCCCGGCUAACUCCGUGCCAGCAGCCGCGGUAAUAGGAGGGGGUUAGCGUUGUUCGGAAUUACUGGGCGUAAAGCGCGCGUAGGCGGAUUAGUCAGUCAGAGGUGAAAUCCCAGGGCUCAACCCUGGAACUGCCUUUGAUACUGCUAGUCUCGAGUUCGAGAGAGGUGAGUGGAAUUCCGAGUGUAGAGGUGAAAUUCGUAGAUAUUCGGAGGAACACCAGUGGCGAAGGCGGCUCACUGGCUCGAUACUGACGCUGAGGUGCGAAAGUGUGGGGAGCAAACAGGAUUAGAUACCCCUGUAGUC